This 72-nucleotide transfer RNA is filed under the name Acidimicrobiia bacterium. Its description in RNAcentral is "tRNA-Thr". It matches the Rfam family "tRNA". From Rfam's summary of the family: Transfer RNA (tRNA) molecules are approximately 80 nucleotides in length. The record is from RNAcentral. Lineage: Bacteria; Bacillati; Actinomycetota; Acidimicrobiia.
GCCGGGGUAGCUCAGGGGUAGAGCAGCUCACUCGUAAUGAGCAGGCCGCGGGUUCGAAUCCCGCCUCCGGCU